CGGUGGAGCAUGUGGUUUAAUUCGAAGCAACGCGAAGAACCGUUACCAGGUCUUGACAUCCCGAUGCUAUUUCUAGAGAUAGAAAGUUACUUCGGUACAUCGGUGACAGGUGGUGCAUGGUUGUCGUCAGCUCGUGUCGUGAGAUGUUGGGUUAAGUCCCGCAACGAGCGCAACCCCUAUUGUUAGUUGCCAUCAUUCAGUUGGGCACUCUAGCGAGACUGCCGGUAAUAAACCGGAGGAAGGUGGGGAUGACGUCAAAUCAUCAUGCCCCUUAUGACCUGGGCUACACACGUGCUACAAUGGUUGGUACAACGAGUUGCGAGUCGGUGACGGCGAGCUAAUCUCUUAAAGCCAAUCUCAGUUCGGAUUGUAGGCUGCAACUCGCCUACAUGAAGUCGGAAUCGCUAGUAAUCGCGGAUCAGCACGCCGCGGUGAAUACGUUCCCGGGCCUU
This 452-nucleotide ribosomal RNA is filed under the name uncultured Streptococcus sp. RNAcentral's name for it is "bacterial SSU rRNA". It matches the Rfam family "Bacterial small subunit ribosomal RNA", at positions 930 to 1382 of the family's 1533-position model. The record is from RNAcentral. Lineage: Bacteria; Bacillati; Bacillota; Bacilli; Lactobacillales; Streptococcaceae.